This 143-nucleotide long non-coding RNA is filed under the name Peromyscus maniculatus bairdii (prairie deer mouse). RNAcentral describes it as "TP53 target 1 conserved region 1 (ENSPEMG00000031239.1)". It matches the Rfam family "TP53 target 1 conserved region 1". Lineage: Eukaryota; Metazoa; Chordata; Mammalia; Rodentia; Cricetidae. The record is from RNAcentral.
GGGGCCAAACCGGAUCUGUGCGACUGCUUUUCUCUUGCCAGUACACAGGGUAAACAAUAAUAUGCCUCUGUGAAUUCUUGCUUGGGCCAUGCAAAGGAGGCCCGCACUCACAAGGGGCGGGGCGACUGGGCGUGAGGAGAGAA